Molecule: ribosomal RNA, 207 nt
Filed under: uncultured bacterium
Lineage: Bacteria
Description: partial 16S ribosomal RNA
Rfam family: Bacterial small subunit ribosomal RNA
Source: RNAcentral
CGCGUAGGUGGCUAGGCAAGUCGGGUGUGAAAGCCCCGGGCUCAACCUGGGAAUUGCAUUCGAUACUGCUUGGCUAGAGUACGGUAGAGGGAAGCGGAAUUCCGCAUGUAGCGGUGAAAUGCGUAGAUAUGCGGAGGAACACCAGUGGCGAAGGCGGCUUCCUGGACCGUAACUGACACUGAGGCGCGAAAGCGUGGGGAGCAAACA